CGCGGCCUAUCAGCUUGUUGGCGGUGUAACGGACCACCAAGGCUUCGACGGGUAGCUGGUCUGAGAGGAUGGCCAGCCACAUUGGGACUGAGAGACGGCCCAGACUCCUACGGGAGGCAGCAGUGGGGAAUCUUGCGCAAUGGCCGAAAGGCUGACGCAGCGACGCCGCGUGUGGGAUGAAGCAUUUCGGUGUGUAAACCACUGUUGCCCGGGACGAACAGCUUCUUUCGAGGAGCCUGACGGUACCGGGUGAGGAAGCACCGGCUAACUCCGUGCCAGCAGCCGCGGUAAUACGGAGGGUGCGAGCGUUGUCCGGAAUCACUGGGCGUAAAGGGCGCGUAGGUGGCGCGGGCAGUCAACGGUGAAAGUUCGGGGCUCAACCCCGAAUCGGCCGUCGAUACUCCCGAGCUUGAGCACUGUAGAGGCAGAUGGAAUUCCGGGUGUAGCGGUGGAAUGCGUAGAGAUCCGGAAGAACACCGGUGGCGAAGGCGGUCUGCUGGGCAGUUGCUGACACUGAGGCGCGACAGCGUGGGGAGCAAACAGGAUUAGAUACCCUGGUAGUCCACGCCGUAAACGAUGGGCACUAGGUGCUUGGGGGAGCGACCCUCUGAGUGCCGGCGCUAACGCAUUAAGUGCCCCGCCUGGGGAGUACGG
Molecule: ribosomal RNA, 654 nt
Filed under: uncultured bacterium
Lineage: Bacteria
Description: bacterial SSU rRNA
Rfam family: Bacterial small subunit ribosomal RNA
Source: RNAcentral